CCCAGAAUGAUUUUAUAAACAUUUUGCCAGUGGAUCAAUACCUGUAUUGAUCAACCAUUGUGAGAGUGAUCCGUCUAAAACCCAGAGCAGCCUAGAGCUCAGAGAUGGGAGGAGCGAAAGAGAGAGGCUGCAGAGAGGAUGGAGAAAGAGAGAGAGUCUGCAGCCACAGUGAAAGGGAGAAGAGGUACAAGGGAAGAGAAGCGAAUCUGAGGGAGAAGCAGACGCAGAGCUAAAGGUGUGGAGGCAGGUUUCGGACAACGCUGCCAGGCCACUGGGAUUGUGGGAAAACCUGUGGUAAUUACUUUCUCAUUAAGGGAGGGAUGGUGAGGGCGACUAAUGACUACUGCUUUAAGUGUACGGAAAAAAACUGGAGUGUCAAAGAUUGGUUGUUUGCCUUGGUGACAACAUGGGACAGAGAAGGCCCAGCACAUACUGCGCUCAUGAGUUCAGCUGCUACAGUAAAAUUAAAAUUCCUGACAAAAUCAAAGACCACAAGGAAUAGCCUGCAUCCUGGAAUCAUUCAAAGAUGAAAACGGCUGAAAAUAAAGAGAUUAUUGCUGUUUUUAACUGGUUUGGAUAAAGCUAGCUUUGGGAUUUGUUUUUUUUUUUUUACAUUUUGACAAGUCAUUGGAUUGGAUUUAAUUUUUAUUAAAUUUAUUGGAGUUUUACUGAACAGACGACUGACUGGGCCACUCAACAACAGCAAUGAAUGUUUGAUUCAAGGCCCCAAGCUGCGCCGGACUGGAGGAGGAGUUAAAAGGCUUUUGGGAUCAUCCCCCCAAUGCUAAAGGGAAAUCAAGUUUCCACUGAUUGAUUUUAAAUGUGAUUUCCUUGUGCAUAAUUGUGGAUUUGAGGGAAGAUAUAUUCCUCCAAACUGUGGGAGAGGACAUUGAUGCUCAUAAACUCACUUUGCACUGGAGCUCUCAGAGAAGAAAGGCCUACAUUCUACAGUUUGACUCCUCAGUUAACAUGCAUUCGAGUGAAAAGAAAAUAAUGAACAUUCUGUACCAAGGACUCAAAGUACCUACAUACAGUUUUGCUAUAUAAAUUGUAAAACAAAUUAAAAAUUAUUGUGGUGCACAAUGCAAAUCAUGCACCACAGUGUGUGGCAGUACCAUAGACUGUAGUACAUAUCCUUGGCUGUGUCCCAGUCCCACCCUGCAUAAUAAUACAAUAAUAAUGCACUGUGUAUGUUUUAAUAGCUUACUGUUUUGACAGUUAGUGUAUGAUACAAGAUGUUCACCAUCAGACUUCAACUAAACUGUGGAACUGCCAUUUUCACAUUAGGAGAAAAACAACAAUAACCUGAAAUGUUUCCCAAAGAUUUGAAGACCACUUAAAUGAUUUACUUAUUUUUGGUGUUGUUUUGUGUUCUCAGAUGUUCCCAAAGUUGUCUCACAACCUUCCACACAUCAUACAAAAAAUCUGGCAAAUUUAGAAUAUAUCAUGUAUGAAUGUUUGAGCUCUUAUGACUUAUGUAGUGGUACUUCACUUGAGCUAGACUCAUAAGGUGAAUAUUGUGCAGGUACAGUGCAAGUAAUGGUAACCACAGAGACUCAUUUUGUAUUUAAAUGAAAAGGAGGAAGAUAAACUUCCCAGUGUAAGCCUGCUUGCUUCAAAGUCAUUUAAUGUAUACAAUACACAGAUUAUGUGCUCAGUGCAGCAACAAAAAAUGUAUCACUGACUGGUAAACUAAAUUGAGUUUAUCAAUUGCAGAACGCUCUUUUUCAGUAGCAUAGAAAAACAUGAGAAAAUUACAACUAAUGGUCACAGGUGUGACAAUCUGAUCCAGAUUCACGAAACCCUGAUCAGAUGUGGAUUAAUGUUAACAACAAUUUGAACAUCAAGAGACCCAACUAUACGUAAAAUGCAAUGUUAUUAAGCAAACACAAAAUAUUAGAUUUAAUAAAGAGGGGCAAAUCAAAUUGUUAAUCUCUUUGCCUUCGUAUGACUGUAGUCUAGCAGCAUUGGAAUAUCUGCAUAUGAAGGCAGAACCUGCAGGCAAGGGACAAGAUUUGGGUAUUAGAAGUGUUCUGGUUUCCAUUUGUAGACUGUUUGGAGUCCGAGUAGUAUUGACCAAUUAUGUUUGAAUGGGUUUUGCUUGCAUGCAGUUAAACAGUCCAUGUAGAGAGUAAAAGAGGCAGAAUUCUUUGGCCAAAAAGCAAUCCUGGAACCCAUUGGCUAUCGUCUGAUGACCAUUUAGCCUUUUAUCAAUCUCGGAACCCUAGAGACUAGCUUUUUCGAAUGUAUUUGCAUUCAAAUCAUCAGAUGAUAGCCGAUGGGUUCCCAGAUUGCUAAUCGGACUGUAAACAAUGACCGGCUCACGGAAGAGGAAGUCUUGACCUGGAUAUCCGUUCUCCGGAAAUACAUUUCAAGCCCUGAAACAUUGGUCUUUGCCCCCAGAGGCUAAAUCGUCACCUGACAAUAGCCGACAUGUUCUGAGAUUGAGCACUGAUGAAAGAAAACCAGUGAUACAAAUAAUGCUUAUAAAUUGUGCAUUACCUGCAUUACCUACUCUGUGCCAUAAAUCAGUUUAUGCCAUAUAAAACCCAUGGCUCACAUUGUGUAAAAAAAAUUUUGUGUAUUUUUUAAAGUAUAUGUAGUCAAUACAUUAAAAGGCCCAUUAUUUUUGCCUGUUAGGAUAAUAAAACAAGACUGCAUAGUUUUAAACAUUAACACUAACCAUUCCGUGUUAUUACAAAUAUUGGUGCCUUACUACUAUCUUUAUUAGUUUAAUUUCAAGGAGAUAAACACACUAUUCUUAAAGCUUAAGUGUUAUCACUUUACACAAAGACUGAGCUCAUGUGCUAUCAAAGCAGCACUGACACACUGAAUCAUUUUCUUGUUCCCUUUCAUCCCUUUUGUCUGAUUCCUACUCUUAAAAACAAACCCUUGGAUGAGUGCCAAACCAUAAAUUAGGAUCUUCAUUAGACACAUCAAAUCUAAAUUACUUUUCAAUUAACAGGCCAGUCAACCUGAACUAAUCAACCAAUUAGGCUGUGUGUUCACAGAAAAGCUAACAAAAGCACACGAGUCCCCUGGGAAAGCAGUAAAAACACUGCAGAAGAGUGACAGUGCAAAUGAGAAGGUACUGGUUUAGGAGAGAAAGGGAGGAUCAGAAAGUGGCAGAGGAUACAUGAGACGCUCAGAUCACAUCACUAUUCACCCCUUCAUUGUUUGGGAAAUGAAACUCAUAAGUUAUAACAAAUUAUUUAAAACUUAAAGAAAUUGUGAAAGAACAGAUUCUCAAAGAAAGGUAAACAUUUGGGGAAAGAAAAGAAUGUAUAUGAGCUUUGAUCAAUUUGCAUUGUUUAAUGGGUAUACUGUCAAGUUAAUGUUUGUGACCAUUAUUUUUAUGCUAAUGAGUUUUGAUUGAAAGGCAUAUUAUUCUUCUGAUGAUAACUUGUAUUGUGUUAUCAGCUGGCACUGUUGCAAACUAAAUGAACACUGGACACAAAAACCUACUAAAACCCUCCUAACUCCUCCUAAACCUAAACAGUUUGUUUAACUCAAUUUGAUUAAGGGAAAUUGUAUCAAAGCAGGUAAUGUGUUUUUUUUUUCAUGAUUAUCAUGAUAUGGAACAAAAUAUGUGUUUUAUAUCUAUAUAUUGUAUUAUCAUUAUUAUUAUUAUUAUUAUUGUUACUGUACUGUCUGAGUCUCUUUGUGGAGGACAGAGGUUCACAUUUACCAACUCCGAAUGACGACUAGUUGGAAACACCGUCACAUAAUGUCUGAAAACUAAUAUUCAUAAAGUACAAUGAAUUUAUUGAAUUCCCUCUGUCACUCCUCUGCAGUUCAUGGCAGUCAUCUUUGGCGAGGGCUAUGGCAGAGUGAAAGGCUUUGUGAUGCCCUAUUCAGUGUGGUAGGGCUGCUGGGAUGUCUGUGUUGAACAUACCUUUGGGCCACAGGAGAUCUGAUAGGCAGCACAGGCUAUUCAAACGUCUUCUUCACACACACGACAGAAUGUAACCUAAGAGAGAAACCAACACACACAUACCGAAUAAAGCCAGACCGAUCCUGGCUUUUCUUUUAGGUGGUUACUGAUAUUUGGAAGUUUUAAAAUUUCAAUGACAACAUAUUGGUCGACAAACAAUGUUGAUACGGAUCCCUUCGAUGUGUUUUUGUUAUUGUAACCAAGAUACAUACUGAGUGAGGCAUUUCUACCCCUUCCAGCCCUCACAUCUAAAGGUCAGAGAUCUGAUGACGCUCCAGCAAAGGCCAAAGGGGGUUGUAGAGAGGAGAGCACCAUUAUUGUACUAGUAAAUGUCAGAACAA
Micropterus salmoides (largemouth bass) is the source of this 4275-nucleotide long non-coding RNA. RefSeq lists it as uncharacterized. The transcript has 2 exons. Lineage: Eukaryota; Metazoa; Chordata; Actinopteri; Centrarchiformes; Centrarchidae. The record is from RefSeq and is a predicted model, not a curated record.